GGGGAAACCCUGAUGCAGCCAUGCCGCGUGUGUGAAGAAGGCCUUCGGGUUGUAAAGCACUUUCAGCGAGGAGGAAAGGUUGAUGCCUAAUACGUAUCAACUGUGACGUUACUCGCAGAAGAAGCACCGGCUAACUCCGUGCCAGCAGCCGCGGUAAUACGGAGGGUGCAAGCGUUAAUCGGAAUUACUGGGCGUAAAGCGCACGCAGGCGGUUGGAUAAGUUAGAUGUGAAAGCCCCGGGCUCAACCUGGGAAUUGCAUUUAAAACUGUCCAGCUAGAGUCUUGUAGAGGGGGGUAGAAUUCCAGGUGUAGCGGUGAAAUGCGUAGAGAUCUGGAGGAAUACCGGUGGCGAAGGCGGCCCCCUGGACAAAGACUGACGCUCAGGUGCGAAAGCGUGGGAGCAAACAGGAUUAGAUACCCUGGUAGUCCACGCCGUAAACGAUGUCGAUUUGGAGGCUGUGUCCUUGAGACGUGGCUUCCGGAGCUAACGCGUUAAAUCGACCGCCUGGGGAG
RNAcentral lists this ribosomal RNA (513 nucleotides) under uncultured bacterium. Its description in RNAcentral is "bacterial SSU rRNA". It matches the Rfam family "Bacterial small subunit ribosomal RNA", at positions 374 to 880 of the family's 1533-position model. The record is from RNAcentral.